Molecule: ribosomal RNA, 229 nt
Filed under: uncultured bacterium
Lineage: Bacteria
Description: partial 16S ribosomal RNA
Rfam family: Bacterial small subunit ribosomal RNA
Source: RNAcentral
UGCGUAGGCGGAAGAAUAAGUCAGUGGUGAAAUCCUGCAGCUCAACUGUAGAACUGCCAUUGAAACUAUUUUUCUUGAGUAUAGUUGAGGUGGGCGGAAUGUGUCAUGUAGCGGUGAAAUGCUUAGAUAUGACACAGAACACCGAUUGCGUAGGCAGCUCACUAAACUAUCACUGACGCUGAGGCACGAAAGCGUGGGGAGCGAACAGGAUUAGAUACCCUGGUAGUCC